UUGGGUCCACCUCCCACCCGUGUUUAUUUACCUCGUUGCUUCGGCGGGCCCGCCUUAACUGGCCGCCGGGGGGCUCACGCCCCCGGGCCCGCGCCCGCCGAAGACACCCCCGAACUCUGCCUGAAGAUUGUCGUCUGAGUGAAAAUAUAAAUUAUUUAAAACUUUCAACAACGGAUCUCUUGGUUCCGGCAUCGAUGAAGAACGCAGCGAAAUGCGAUACGUAAUGUGAAUUGCAAAUUCAGUGAAUCAUCGAGUCUUUGAACGCACAUUGCGCCCCCUGGUAUUCCGGGGGGCAUGCCUGUCCGAGCGUCAUUGCUGCCCUCAAGCCCGGCUUGUGUGUUGGGCCCCGUCCUCCGAUUCCGGGGGACGGGCCCGAAAGGCAGCGGCGGCACCGCGUCCGGUCCUCGAGCGUAUGGGGCUUUGUCACCCGCUCUGUAGGCCCGGCCGGCGCUUGCCGAUCAACCCAAAUUUUUAUCCAGGUUGACCUCGGAUCAGGUAGGGAUACCCGCUGAACUUAAGCAUAUCAAUAAGCGGAGGAAU
This 540-nucleotide ribosomal RNA is filed under the name Penicillium expansum. RNAcentral describes it as "eukaryotic LSU rRNA". The stretch from base 160 to 312 matches the Rfam family "5.8S ribosomal RNA". The record is from RNAcentral. Lineage: Eukaryota; Fungi; Ascomycota; Eurotiomycetes; Eurotiales; Aspergillaceae.